This 449-nucleotide ribosomal RNA is filed under the name uncultured bacterium. RNAcentral's name for it is "partial 16S ribosomal RNA". It matches the Rfam family "Bacterial small subunit ribosomal RNA", at positions 29 to 523 of the family's 1533-position model. The record is from RNAcentral.
AGCGAACGCUGGCGGCAGGCCUAACACAUGCAAGUCGAACGGAACCUUCGGGAUUAGUGGCGGACGGGUGAGUAACACGUGGGAACGUGCCCUUUGGUUCGGAACAACUCAGGGAAACUUGAGCUAAUACCGGAUGUGCCCUUCGGGGGAAAGAUUUAUCGCCAUUGGAGCGGCCCGCGUCUGAUUAGCUAGUUGGUGGGGUAAAGGCCCACCAAGGCGACGAUCAGUAGCUGGUCUGAGAGGAUGAUCAGCCACAUUGGGACUGAGACACGGCCCAAACUCCUACGGGAGGCAGCAGUGGGGAAUCUUGCGCAAUGGGCGAAAGUCUGACGCAGCCAUGCCGCGUGAAUGAUGAAGGUCUUAGGAUUGUAAAAUUCUUUCACCGGGGACGAUAAUGACGGUACCCGGAGAAGAAGCCCCGGCUAACUUCGUGCCAGCCGCCGCAGUAA